This is a non-coding RNA of Phascolarctos cinereus (koala), 572 nucleotides long. Lineage: Eukaryota; Metazoa; Chordata; Mammalia; Diprotodontia; Phascolarctidae. The record is from RefSeq and is a predicted model, not a curated record.
UCCCAGGUGGUGCAGAGAAAUAUGGAUAUUCUUUUGCUGUCCAUUAGAAGACUCUGAAGUACUGGCCAGACUCCAACUUCUGAAGUCUUUCUCAAAAGGAUCACAAGACUCUGAUCAAAUCCUAUUCAGAUCCAUUCUGACUCUAGUUUCCCACUUCCAGGCAAACACUUGCUGCUCUAGCUUCCAAACUGUAAAGACUAGCUUGCCUCAUGUGUGCCUGACCAGCCAUUUGUGCCACUGGAAAGGAACUGAGUACCAUAGAUGGGGUAGAUACAGUAAAGAACUCAACCCUGAGCAGUUUCCAAUUUUCAUGUGUUGGGGGAAAAGACAAAUGCAGGCAACAGGGAACUCUAUUUCUGAAACUUCAGUGUAAGACACAGAGAGACAAUUCGGUAAAUCCUGCAUUGUUGGGGUGGGUGGGAGGAGACGGGUGUGGUGAAACAAUAGGGAAGGGGGGGCCCGCUUAUUUCUGGCUUACCCAGAUAUAAUAGCAACAAAACCAAUAAUAAUAAUAAAGAGGCAGCUUGUUAUAGUAAGCCAUCCUUGCUUAAGAGAAAAUCGAGUUUCCAUUA